This 695-nucleotide ribosomal RNA is filed under the name uncultured bacterium. RNAcentral describes it as "bacterial SSU rRNA". It matches the Rfam family "Bacterial small subunit ribosomal RNA", at positions 59 to 761 of the family's 1533-position model. The record is from RNAcentral.
ACGAAGCACUUAAGAACGAUUCUUCGGAUGAAGUCUUUUGUGACUGAGUGGCGGACGGGUGAGUAACGCGUGGGUAACCUGCCUCACACAGGGGGAUAACAGUUGGAAACGACCGCUAAUACCGCAUAAGCCAACAGGGGCGCAUGCUCUGGUUGGAAAAGAUUUAUCGGUGUGAGAUGGACCCGCGUCUGAUUAGCCAGUUGGCAGGGUAACGGCCUACCAAAGCGACGAUCAGUAGCCGGCCUGAGAGGGUGAACGGCCACAUUGGGACUGAGACACGGCCCAAACUCCUACGGGAGGCAGCAGUGGGGAAUAUUGCACAAUGGGGGAAACCCUGAUGCAGCGACGCCGCGUGAGUGAAGAAGUAUUUCGGUAUGUAAAGCUCUAUCAGCAGGGAAGAAAAUGACGGUACCUGACUAAGAAGCCCCGGCUAACUACGUGCCAGCAGCCGCGGUAAUACGUAGGGGGCAAGCGUUAUCCGGAUUUACUGGGUGUAAAGGGAGCGUAGACGGUGAUGCAAGUCAGAAGUGAAAGCCCGGGGCUCAACUCCGGGACUGCAUUGGAAACUGGCAUGCUGGAGUGCCGGAGGGGCAAGCGGAAUUCCUAGUGUAGCGGUGAAAUGCGUAGAUAUUAGGAGGAACACCGGUGGCGAAGGCGGCUUGCUGGACGGUAACUGACGUUGAGGCUCGAAAGCG